ACUUAAAUAAUAUGUCUUCUCUGUUUUAUAGCCUGAGCUGUAACGUUGAUCCCCGUCGACAUUGAUCUCAACUUGAUUAUCUGAAAAUAGUUGCUGACCAAUCAAUUUUUCUCGUUUUUUGGAUUGAGUUUGGAGCUUCUUUUUUUUUUCUUUUGAGUGGUCUACAUUUGACAUUCUCUUAGAAUUUUAAAAUGAUAAAGAAUAGAAUAAUAUUAAUUAACAUUUGGUGGUCGUAUGUUCUAGUC
This is a long non-coding RNA of Arabidopsis thaliana (thale cress), 245 nucleotides long. RefSeq annotates it as other RNA. The transcript has a single exon. Lineage: Eukaryota; Viridiplantae; Streptophyta; Magnoliopsida; Brassicales; Brassicaceae. The record is from RefSeq.